This is a long non-coding RNA of Cephus cinctus (wheat stem sawfly), 3655 nucleotides long. RefSeq lists it as uncharacterized. The record is from RefSeq and is a predicted model, not a curated record. The transcript is spliced from 5 exons. NCBI's taxonomy places the organism in Eukaryota, Metazoa, Arthropoda, Insecta, Hymenoptera, Cephidae.
UUUCUCCUUUUUCCUGAUACAUUGAGUGUAUUUAUGUUUUCAAGUCAGAAAUUCAAGCAUGAAUAAUAACAGUAGCUUUGCAUUUACACCGUUUACCGUAGUGAGUUGAGAGGUUAUAAAUAGUUGAAAGCGAAAUGCAGGGUCUCUCGAGGAUUCAUCGGCUAUUUUCUACGAGUUUUUGUAAAAGGGGUAGUUUGACUUGGUAAACACCGUAGGGGCUUGAUAACAGUUGGGAAUGCGAUGAAGGAAGAGGGUAGUUUUAAAUGAGGCUUAAUUAUUAAGCGUUCUGUAGAACAAAGGGCUAGGGCUCUUGUCAGCUCGUGUACGCAGGCUGCUUCUGCAUGCUAGAUAAAUAGGGCUGUGGAAAGAGCAAAAGAAAAAGUAUAGAGAGGAAAGCGGAAUUCUUUAUUUCGUAAUUAACACUGAGAAACGUAUCACCCCUUGGGACGUUCCCUUCUUUCGCUCUGUUCUUUUCUAGCACACGUCGCAUGCAUAUUGCAUAUAUAUGUAUAUACAACCUGCAAUUGAAACUGGUGACAGCGCUACUGUGUACUCUUGACGGGGGCCCAGAGAAUUACUUUCUAUCCGGGUGUACAGGUAUUUAAGUAUCGUACGUGUACUGAAUCAAUUUCGAUGCUUGCUUUUACAGGUAGAAUUAUUAUAGCAUCUAUAAUUCAAUGAGAUCCCACGACGAUAUAUGACAUAUAAAUAAUGUGAAAAACAGGAUAGAGCGAUUGGCAUGGCGGUCGUAUUGCUCAUAAUACAUUUUAUUGGUUGGUCGGAUCGAUGGAAGGGGGAAGUGGAGGCAAUGAAUAUUUAUUAAAUACCAACUGUAACGACUCCGGAAAUGAAAUGAAAGACCAAAAAAUGGGACCUCUGUGGGACAGCUGAAAUUUUAAUACCAUUGCUUUUCUCUUUUUUCUUUUUUAAAAGAAUUAAUUUGAGAAGCUCUAAACGAGCUUUGCAUUGUGUUGCUGGAGAAUAUGCAAAACGAUGCUGUUUUACACAGACCUGAAUUACUUUAAUAAAUUUCUCCUCUUUUUUUAUAGCUGCAUGCUAAAGGACCCCAGUGUAUGUACCAGUGCAUACAGUUUCACGGAAAAGGGUGGAUUGCGGAUGUAGGCUCGAAAUAAUUAAGUCCUGCGAAAGGGUGCAGGUGCUAUAAAACGUUAACCCCUCAGACAUGAACCUAACCCUUAACCCUUCGUGUAAAGAGGUCGAAAUAAGAUGGCCUGUCUGAAUAUCUGGUGCAGUAGACCCAAGCUGGCCAGAGACUUUGUGCCGUGCUCGAAUUACUUGUGCCACUUCCGGUUCCAUUUGUGCUGCUGUGUGUACUGUCACCGCUGAUGGAGUCGCCGCCUAUUGUGGACGCUGCUGAUGAUAGGGAUGGUGCACCAGUGAUUGAACUUCCGUGGGACGAAAGGCCAUCCCUCUCGCGAUGGAGGGAAAAAUUCGAAGUGGAUGACAAUUGGGGCGAAAGUCUUGUGGACGAGAGACUCAGAUCCCGCGGAAUUUGAAGCGGACUGUGUUGAGAAAUUUGUACCGGAAGUGACAGUCUUUGAUGUGCUGUCGGUAAGGAGUUCGGUCUCAAAGGCAGAGACGUCGCCCAGCCAUGCCGGGUGUGUCGUCCUCGGACGGAAGCUUGUUAGCAGGGAAUUACGACUUCCGCGUCCAUUAGAAUGCCGAGAUGCUAACUACGGCUUACGUACGUGUAACUCCAUAUCGGGUUGCCACCGCAGAAACACGUUCUGAUUCUGCCAGUUGGCAGGCCGCCGUAAUUCUGUAUUCUGUAUACUAUACGGUCUGUAUUUUGUAUUCCUUAUACCAGUCUCUUCUGUAUUCUCUACAUACGGUAUAUACUCUGCACUCUGUUACAGGAACGUUUUACAUUAUGGUACGCGAGCAAUAAACCUAAACGAGUACAAGACGAGUCAGCAUAUUGGUUCUGGGACUUACCUUUGUUAAGGUGCGGCCUUGUUUGGGACUUACGGCGUCCGUUCCGGAUAAACUGAGGAAGAAUGUUCUGUUUCGAAAACACAAUUCGUUCUGUGCGGAUUGUUAUCGUGGCAGGGAUGCUGCUGUUUUCUACCUGCGCUUUGGGCCUUAUGAUUCCGUCACGGAGAGCGACGCGACUUUUUAUGGGCUUUUCGGGGGCAUUCGGGGGAUACGGCUAAUGUUCUUGAGCUUUUGGGAGUGAUUAUUUUUUGGAGUUUGUCGUACUUCGUUUUUCGAUGAUAACAAAAAAAAUGGGUCUGGUUGUGUUUCAUUUUUUGGGCGUAAUUAGUCUAACUUUUUUUGGAAUGUGGUUAACUGUAUGUGUAUAUGUAUUUUUGAAGCGAAGCAGAUAGUCGUGCAGAGAUACAUCAUUCGUAGAAAGUUAAUAGUCGGCGAUAAGGCCCAAUUUUAAAAAAUGAAUAUUUUUCGUAACUAUUGGGGAUAAUGGAUUUAUAUAUAUAUAUAUAUUUUUUAUAUGCAUCAACCGUAUACCGUUUAUGUUAAAUUUAUUUGAGUGUGUACGUUCUCUCCUGUACUCUGUCUGUACGUGCCGGGUACACAAUGGGCCCGAUCUAUGUCGCAUUGUACAUUGCGGUAAAAUCUUUGGGCCCACCAGUCGCGAUACCGCUCUUCGAAGAAGGGUUUGUUUAUACUUGAAGAAGACGGGGGGCCUUAUUGUUCCCUGUGACCAAUUGCACACCAGGGGUCUGCAAUGGGACCUGGUCACUCUUUCCUUUUAUAAACGGGAUAGAAAAAUGUCCAGGAUGUUUCUACGGUGACAGGAACUUCGACGGGAUGGACCAGUAGAGAUGGCUACAGGUAGCGAAGAAUAUUAAGGCCCAGCGCGAGGGACACUCUCAAGCUAAGAAAAACUUAGUGAAAUGGUUUAGUAUACGGGGGGUCCCAUUAUGUUGCUUAGAUAAUCUGAUUUGCGUGACUGAGUUGUCAAUGUCCUUGACAGUUGUCAAUCUUUAGAAGAGAAGGACCGUCUUGGACAUUUUCACUGACCCUGACGUCAAUUUUUAUUGAGAUUUUUUUUUUCAAUUUGCAGGCCCAAAAUUCGUACCACCAAAGUUUAACCAGCUUGCUUUAAUGUAAAGCCGUUUUUAUCUGCUGCCGCUCUUACCGGAGGUUCGUGUUGACCGACGGCCAGGAUAAUCCGGAUUAAAAAGUCAAUGGCUCCUGUUUACGAAAAUACAAGGACGUCCAGGAAGGCGUCGGAGGAAUCAGAUGGAAUUUACGGUUGUCAGGAUCAGCGAACCGAGGUGGAGAAAAUCAAAGGAAAAAGAUGGCAAGGACGUUUUAAAGUCCUGGAUGAAUUUUGUCAAAGAAAAAUAACGGGUGUCUCUUUAAAUUGAUACCAGGAUCUUUGGCAUCCUUAUCGAUCGCAUCGAGCGUGCGAAUGUUCUAGAAGAAAUGUAAAAUCAACAUUUAAUAACGGCAAUACGUAUAUUACAGGUGUUUUUAAUUAACCAAUAAAUCCCAAGAGACUGUAGCCGCAUCGAGCAUCUAAUUAUACACGGUGUACUAUUUUUAAAAGAAUAUUUUACUUUUUUGCCAGUCUGGCAAAAUGAGGCGCCAAUCAAAAUGAAACGACAAAAAGGCGUCGAGACCUUUAGGAAAUGAGCAAACUCGAAACGUGCCACCAGAAAAUUAGACG